AGUGGCGGACGGGUGAGUAACGCGUGGGUAACCUGCCUCAUACAGGGGAUAACAGUUAGAAAUGACUGCUAAUACCGCAUAAGACCACGGAGCCGCAUGGCUCAGGUAGGGAAAAACUCCGGUGGUAUGAGAUGGACCCGCGUCUGAUUAGGUAGUUGGUGGGGUAACGGCCUACCAAGCCGACGAUCAGUAGCCGACCUGAGAGGGUGACCGGCCACAUUGGGACUGAGACACGGCCCAA
RNAcentral lists this ribosomal RNA (241 nucleotides) under uncultured bacterium. RNAcentral describes it as "partial 16S ribosomal RNA". It matches the Rfam family "Bacterial small subunit ribosomal RNA", at positions 94 to 334 of the family's 1533-position model. The record is from RNAcentral.